GAGCACUGUUUCGACUAGGGGGUCAUCCCGACUUACCAACUCGAUGCAAACUACGAAUACCGAAGAAUGUUAUCACGGGAGACACACGGCGGGUGCUAACGUUCGUCGUGAAGAGGGAAACAACCCAGACCGCCAGCUAAGGUCCCAAAGUCAUAGUUAAGUGGGAAACGAAGUGGGAAGGCUCAGACAGCCAGGAUGUUGGCUUAGAAGCAGCCAUCAUUUAAAGAAAGCGUAAUAGCUCACUGGUCGAGUCGGCCUGCGCGGAAGAUGUAACGGGGCUAAACUAUGCACCGAAGCUGCGGCAGCGAACGUAUCACUUAAACUGAUUAAGUGAUACUCAAAUGUAUCAAAACGAUUGACGGAGCGAAGCGACGUCAAUGCGUCCAACAAAGUCGAGGCGGAAACGUCAGGCAGUCAGUUUAAGGAUACGUUCGUUGGGUAGGGGAGCGUUCUGUAAGCCUGUGAAGGUGUGCUGUGAGGCAUGCUGGAGGUAUCAGAAGUGCGAAUGCUGACAUAAGUAACGAUAAUGCGGGUGAAAAACCCGCACGCCGGAAGACCAAGGGUUCCUGUCCAACGUUAAUCGGGGCAGGGUGAGUCGACCCCUAAGGCGAGGCAGAAAUGCGUAGUCGAUGGGAAACGGGUUAAUAUUCCCGUACUGGUGAUAAUUGCGAUGGGGGGACGGAGAAGGCUAGGCUAUCCGGGCGACGGUUGUCCCGGUUUAAGGAUGUAGGCAGGUGAAUUAGGCAAAUCCGGU
RNAcentral lists this ribosomal RNA (754 nucleotides) under Providencia rettgeri. RNAcentral describes it as "partial 23S ribosomal RNA". It matches the Rfam family "Bacterial large subunit ribosomal RNA", at positions 905 to 1546 of the family's 2925-position model. The record is from RNAcentral. Lineage: Bacteria; Pseudomonadati; Pseudomonadota; Gammaproteobacteria; Enterobacterales; Morganellaceae.